This 147-nucleotide unclassified non-coding RNA is filed under the name uncultured Cenococcum. Its description in RNAcentral is "sequence contains ITS2". Lineage: Eukaryota; Fungi; Ascomycota; Dothideomycetes; Gloniales; Gloniaceae. The record is from RNAcentral.
CACCACUCAAGCCUGGCUUGGUGUUGGGCGACGUCCCCUUUUGGGGACGCGCCUCGAAACGCUCGGCGGCGUGGCACCGGCUUUAAGCGUAGCAGAAUCUUUCGCUUUGAAAGUUGGGGCCCCGUCUGCCGGAAGACCUACUCGUAA